UACGGGGGGGGUAAGCGUUGUUCGGAAUUACUGGGCGUAAAGGGCUCGUAGGCGGCCAACUAAGUCGGACGUGAAAUCCCUCAGCUUAACUGGGGAACUGCGUCCGAUACUGGAUGGCUUGGAUUUGGGAGAGGGAUGCGGAAUUCCAGGUGUAGCGGUGAAAUGCGUAGAUAUGCGGAGGAACACCGAUGGCGAAGGCAGUCCCCUGGGCCUGUACUGACGCUCAUGCACGAAAGCGUGGGGAGCAAACAGG
Molecule: ribosomal RNA, 253 nt
Filed under: uncultured bacterium
Lineage: Bacteria
Description: partial 16S ribosomal RNA
Rfam family: Bacterial small subunit ribosomal RNA
Source: RNAcentral